Molecule: long non-coding RNA, 1308 nt
Filed under: Ornithorhynchus anatinus (platypus)
Lineage: Eukaryota; Metazoa; Chordata; Mammalia; Monotremata; Ornithorhynchidae
Description: lncRNA (ENSOANG00000048318.1)
Source: RNAcentral
AUAGGGACUGUGUCCAAUCCCAUUAUCUUGUAUCUACCCCAGCGUGUAGAAUGGGGCUUCUCACAUAGUAAGUGUGCAUCAAAUACCAUAAUUAGUAUCACUGUCCUCUCCCAAGCACCUGCACAUAAUAAGCACCCAAUAAACACCACUGAUUGGUUGAUCGACUGGCGAUGGAUUGGCUAGCUGUCUAGUGGCUACCCAACCCCAGGAGCUCAGAGUUCUGAAUCAAGCCCAGAAGCCCCCAGGGAAGCCAAGCCCAGGCGGGAAGGGAGGGAAGAAUGGAGGAGACAGCUGGUCUAUGUCUCCUGGAGGUCACUACAUCCAUUGUGACCCCCAGACUUGAGUUUGGCGAGCCUCUGCCUCAGUGGCUGCCAAACCUGUCAGUCAUCUGGGCCUGGAGGAGGUAGGGAGGUAGGGAAUCCUGCUGUGGCUUUAACGAAAGACAAAAAGAGAGGACCCCUUCCCCAAAGGAAGAGAAAUGACCAAUUGCUUUCAGAGAUAGAGGGAGGGAAAGAUGGGGGGUGGGGGUGGAGCAGGGAAAGAGAGUCAGGGGAGAGACGGGGAGAAAGGCGGCCAGAAGGAGAGUUAGAGGGAGAGAGACAGUGGGAGAGAGAGCCAGAGGAAGAGAGACAGAGGGAGAGUCAGAUGGAGAGAGAGACAGAGGGGGGGGGGGGAAGGCAGCCAGAGGGAGAGAGACAGACAGACAGGGGAAGUGAGAGUUAGAGGGAGAGAGAGAGACAGAGGAAGAGAGCGAGGCAGAGAGACAGCGGGAGAGAGAGAUGGAGAGUGGCUGGGUGGGUUCGGGGGAGGUGAAGAGAAGAAUAGUGACAGAGGGAGAAAAUAGCCUCAUCAACAUAUCCUGAGAGGAGGAGAAGAAGAGGAGAGGAGGAGGAGAAGAGGAGGGCUUUGAUCAAUGUUUUCCUGGAGUCAGUGGUCAACUUCCUGAUCCUCUCAGCCCAGGGCCGACACCGGAUGCAGCUCGUAUUUUCUUCUUUCAACGCCACGCCACACACGAGGACCCAGCCUGCUUUUUGAAGUGCACUAGGUGGUGGGGGCCCCGUGUCUGUGGGCCAGGAAUCCUGUCUCCCAGGACUCCGCUUUUCCUCCGGAGGACAUUCCGAUCGGAAUCGCUGUCGGUGGGAAUCGGAGGAGAGCCGGCGGUCCAAGUGUCAUCCAGGAAAUCCCCUAGACUCACAUUCCAGCCCCUCCCAGAAGAUACGUCUCAGGUACGUGCUGAACCUAGAGGCAGAUCAAAACACAAGCUGAGACUCUCUCUUUGACGGGCUGACCGGCCGACCGUCCGGUCGA